This 43-nucleotide transfer RNA is filed under the name Forpus crassirostris. Its description in RNAcentral is "tRNA-Glu". The record is from RNAcentral. Lineage: Eukaryota; Metazoa; Chordata; Aves; Psittaciformes; Psittacidae.
GAGUGGACUUUUAGGCCAUAGAGUGAGGGGGUCUGGGUGGGAC